GUAAUAGCUCACUGGUCGAGUCGGCCUGCGCGGAAGAUGUAACGGGGCUAAACUAUGCACCGAAGCUGCGGCAGCGAUAUGUAAAUAUUGUUGGGUAGGGGAGCGUUCUGUAAGCCUGUGAAGGUGUGCUGUGAGGCAUGCUGGAGGUAUCAGAAGUGCGAAUGCUGACAUAAGUAACGAUAAUGCGGGUGAAAAACCCGCACGCCGGAAGACCAAGGGUUCCUGUCCAACGUUAAUCGGGGCAGGGUGAGUCGACCCCUAAGGCGAGGCAGAAAUGCGUAGUCGAUGGGAAACGGGUUAAUAUUCCCGUACUGGUGAUAAUUGCGAUGGGGGGACGGAGAAGGCUAGGCUGGCCGGGCGACGGUUGUCCCGGUUUAAGGAUGUAGGCAGGUGAAUUAGGCAAAUCCGGUUCACUAUAUGCUGAGGUCUGAUGACGAGUCACUACGGUGGCGAAGUAGCUCAUGCCCCGCUUCCAGGAAAAGCCUCUAAGCUCUAGAUUAUCACUAAUCGUACCCCAAACCGACACAGGUGGUCAGGUAGAGAAUACUCAGGCGCUUGAGAGAACUCGGGUGAAGGAACUAGGCAAAAUGGUGCCGUAACUUCGGGAGAAGGCACGCUGGCGUUAGGUGAAGUGGUUUACCCAUGGAGCUGAAGCCAGUCGCAGAUACCAGCUGGCUGCAACUGUUUAUUAAAAACACAGCACUGUGCAAACACGAAAGUGGACGUAUACGGUGUGACGCCUGCCCGGUG
RNAcentral lists this ribosomal RNA (750 nucleotides) under Providencia rettgeri. RNAcentral's name for it is "partial 23S ribosomal RNA". It matches the Rfam family "Bacterial large subunit ribosomal RNA", at positions 1134 to 1868 of the family's 2925-position model. Lineage: Bacteria; Pseudomonadati; Pseudomonadota; Gammaproteobacteria; Enterobacterales; Morganellaceae. The record is from RNAcentral.